GAUGAAGAACGCAGCGAAAUGCGAUAAGUAAUGUGAAUUGCAGAAUUCAGUGAAUCAUCGAAUCUUUGAACGCACCUUGCACCCUUUGGCUAUUCCGAAGGGUAUGCCUGUUUGAGUAUCAUGAACACCUCAACUCUCAUGGUUUGCCAUGAUGAGCUUGGACUUUGGGGGUCUUGCUGGCCUGUGGUCAGCUCCUCUCAAAUGGAUUAGCUUGCCAGUGUUUGGUGGCAUCACAGGUGUGAUAACUAUCUACGCUUGUGGUUUUCCACCAGGUAACCUUCAGCAAUGGGGGUUCGCUGGGGCUCAUAAAUGUCUCUCCUCAGUGAGGACAGCUCUUUGAACGUUUGAUCUCAAAUCAGGUAGGACUACCCGCUGAACUUAAGCAUAUCAAUAAGCGGAGGA
This 402-nucleotide unclassified non-coding RNA is filed under the name soil metagenome. RNAcentral describes it as "partial contains 5.8S ribosomal RNA, internal transcribed spacer 2, and large subunit ribosomal RNA". The stretch from base 1 to 121 matches the Rfam family "5.8S ribosomal RNA", at positions 35 to 154 of the family's 154-position model. The record is from RNAcentral.